Molecule: ribosomal RNA, 1115 nt
Filed under: Salmonella enterica subsp. enterica serovar Welikade
Lineage: Bacteria; Pseudomonadati; Pseudomonadota; Gammaproteobacteria; Enterobacterales; Enterobacteriaceae
Description: partial 23S ribosomal RNA
Rfam family: Bacterial large subunit ribosomal RNA
Source: RNAcentral
GACUCGUCACACUAUCAUUAACUGAAUCCAUAGGUUAAUGAGGCGAACCGGGGGAACUGAAACAUCUAAGUACCCCGAGGAAAAGAAAUCAACCGAGAUUCCCCCAGUAGCGGCGAGCGAACGGGGAGGAGCCCAGAGCCUGAAUCAGCAUGUGUGUUAGUGGAAGCGUCUGGAAAGGCGCGCGAUACAGGGUGACAGCCCCGUACACAAAAGCGCAUGUGCUGUGAGCUCGAUGAGUAGGGCGGGACACGUGGUAUCCUGUCUGAAUAUGGGGGGACCAUCCUCCAAGGCUAAAUACUCCUGACUGACCGAUAGUGAACCAGUACCGUGAGGGAAAGGCGAAAAGAACCCCGGCGAGGGGAGUGAAAAAGAACCUGAAACCGUGUACGUACAAGCAGUGGGAGCCCCACCACUAAGCCAGUGGUGAACUCCACAUACGCAUCCUUUGCUGAGGAUGCGGUUAACGGAGCGAAAGCGACGUUCAACCGCAAAAGAAGCAGAGGGGGCUUAGUGGUGGGGUGACUGCGUACCUUUUGUAUAAUGGGUCAGCGACUUAUAUUCUGUAGCAAGGUUAACCGAAUAGGGGAGCCGGAGGGAAACCGAGUCUUAAUUGGGCGUUAAGUUGCAGGGUAUAGACCCGAAACCCGGUGAUCUAGCCAUGGGCAGGUUGAAGGUUGGGUAACACUAACUGGAGGACCGAACCGACUAAUGUUGAAAAAUUAGCGGAUGACCUGUGGCUGGGGGUGAAAGGCCAAUCAAACCGGGAGAUAGCUGGUUCUCCCCGAAAGCUAUUUAGGUAGCGCCUCGUGAAUUCAUCUCCGGGGGUAGAGCACUGUUUCGGCUAGGGGGCCAUCCCGGCUUACCAACCCGAUGCAAACUGCGAAUACCGGAGAAUGUUAUCACGGGAGACACACGGCGGGUGCUAACGUCCGUCGUGAAGAGGGAAACAACCCAGACCGCCAGCUAAGGUCCCAAAGUCAUGGUUAAGUGGGAAACGAUGUGGGAAGGCCCAGACAGCCAGGAUGUUGGCUUAGAAGCAGCCAUCAUUUAAAGAAAGCGUAAUAGCUCACUGGUCGAGUCGGCCUGCGCGGAAGAUGUAACGGGGCUAAACCAUG